RNAcentral lists this ribosomal RNA (439 nucleotides) under uncultured bacterium. RNAcentral's name for it is "partial 16S ribosomal RNA". It matches the Rfam family "Bacterial small subunit ribosomal RNA", at positions 338 to 795 of the family's 1533-position model. The record is from RNAcentral.
CCUACGGGUGGCAGCAGUGGGGAAUAUUGCACAAUGGGCGAAAGCCUGAUGCAGCAACGCCGCGUGAGCGAUGAAGGCCUUCGGGUCGUAAAGCUCUGUCCUCAAGGACGAUAAUGACGGUACUUGCGGAGGCCGCCCCGGCUAACUACGUGCCAGCCGCCGCGGUAAUACGUAGGGGGCUAGCGUGAUCCGGAAUUACUGGGCGUAACGGGUGCGUAGGUGGGUUCUUAAGUCAGAGGUGAAAGGCUACGGCUCAAACGUAGUAAGCCUUUGAAACUGGGGAACGUGAGUGCAGGAGAGGAGAGUGGAAGUCCUAGUGUAGCGGUGAAAGGCGUAGAUAUGAGGAGGAACACCAGUGGCGAAGGCGGCUCGCUGGACUGUAACUGACACUGAGGCACGAAAGCGUGGGGAGCAAACAGGAUUAGAUACCCCGGUAGUC